UCUGAACAGGUUAUAUGGACAAACAAAAUAUGGUUGCUGCCUUCAUAGGACACCAACAACUCUUACACCAACCUUCUGACACUCAAUCUUACAUGUUUUCACACCUGCUUACAGUGCAGUUUAUCUAUCCAGCAAGAAACUGCUUCUUAUGGAAAACCUACAUGACGAGAAAUGAAACAAGACAUGGGGCCAAUUUCUGUGAAGAGUCCAACCUGCAAAGAAAGAGAAUAAAAGAUAAGAACUAAAGCUCCACUUCUCCAGACCCUCCUUCUGAAUCCUCCUACAGUCAGUUUUACGACAGUUCAACCUUUGUUUCGUUCUUUCUUGUCCAUGCUGUGGAACCACGGAGUGGCCGGAAUGUCAAAAGUCAAAGCACCUCUUGCCCUGCUUCAAUGUGAUAACAGGAGAUUCAAUCCCAGCAAACUGUAUUCUGCCACGGGCUACUUGACUCAUCCUGUUUCCUUCCCUACAGUACAACCCAAGCAUCACCUCUUUGUGCUUUCCCUCAGUUUAUGAAGAAGGAAAUGGGUCCAUUAGUGUUUUAUUUCUAGCUGGGAGCAAGCGAUGCUUUCUCAUGGAUGGAUCAUAAUAGUGAAUUUAGCCUUAAGCAAGCAAACCUUCCUCAAAUCAACACUUGCUUUUUGGGAUGCUAAUGCAACAAGUGAUCGCUUUGAUUUGCAAAUGCAUAAGAAAGCAGUGUUACUCAGAUCUAAAGCUUUGGCAAACUGU
Molecule: long non-coding RNA, 729 nt
Organism: Paramisgurnus dabryanus
Lineage: Eukaryota; Metazoa; Chordata; Actinopteri; Cypriniformes; Cobitidae
Source: RefSeq, a predicted model, not a curated record